Molecule: ribosomal RNA, 467 nt
Filed under: uncultured bacterium
Lineage: Bacteria
Description: partial 16S ribosomal RNA
Rfam family: Bacterial small subunit ribosomal RNA
Source: RNAcentral
GACGAACGCUGGCGGCGUGCUUAACACAUGCAGGUCGAACGGAAAGGCCCUGCUUUUGUGGGGUGCUCGAGUGGCGAACGGGUGAGUAACACGUGAGUAACCUGCCCUUGACUUUGGGAUAACUUCAGGAAACUGGGGCUAAUACCGGAUAGGAGCUCCUGCUGCAUGGUGGGGGUUGGAAAGUUUCGGCGGUUGGGGAUGGACUCGCGGCUUAUCAGCUUGUUGGUGGGGUAGUGGCUUACCAAGGCUUUGACGGGUAGCCGGCCUGAGAGGGUGACCGGCCACAUUGGGACUGAGAUACGGCCCAGACUCCUACGGGAGGCAGCAGUGGGGAAUAUUGCACAAUGGGCGGAAGCCUGAUGCAGCAACGCCGCGUGCGGGAUGACGGCCUUCGGGUUGUAAACCGCUUUCGCCUGUGACGAAGCGUGAGUGACGGUAAUGGGGAAAGAAGCACCGGCUAACUACGU